ACUCACCGAGGUUGACGACCUUGAGCGCCGUGAAGAAGCGGUUCUGCCGGGCCAGGUCCUGCCAGGGAGCCUUGGAGCAGUGGUACUUGAUGAAGGGGAAGCAGCCGGUGCGCAGGACGUGGUAGUUGGCGCCCUGCACCGGCCAGUUGAAGUGCGAGAGGCCGAACUGGUCGUUGCGGACGGCGCUGUAGGGCACGCAGAAGGAGGUCCAGUGCGGCAGGCGCCGCUGCAGCAGAUGCCGCGUCAGCACCUCCGAGGCGCUGGGCUUGGGGCGGGCGGCGGCGCGCGAGGCCCACGGCCUACACAGCAGCAGGCGGAGCGCGACCUCGUGGGCCCUCCUCAGGGCCUCCAUGGCCCGCCGCGCCGGGGACGCAGGCUGGUGUCCGCAGCCGCUGGCGCGCAAGCGCGCCCCCGGGCGAGCGCCGGGAAGGCCAACCGGCGCCGCGCGGGUGCCCGAGAGCCCCCGGUGUGCGGCGGCGCGUGCGCACAGCGGCCCCGUGGCCUCCCGCUGGGGGUGGAGUCCGGGGGAUGGGAAGCGUGAGCUGCGCGAGGCGGAGGGUCACCUGCGUCAAGGAGCUGGUUUUGAGUGGCCAGGUACGGAGUCUCACUCUGUUGCCCAGGCUGGAGUGCAGUGGUGCAAUCUCAGCUCACUGCAACCUCUGCCUCCCAGAGACGGGGUUUCACCAUGUUGGCCAGGCUGGUCUCAAACUCAUGACCUCGUGAUCCACCUGCCUCGGCCUCCCAAAGUGCUGGGAUUACAGGCGUG
Molecule: long non-coding RNA, 766 nt
Filed under: Homo sapiens (human)
Lineage: Eukaryota; Metazoa; Chordata; Mammalia; Primates; Hominidae
Description: HSALNT0381899
Source: RNAcentral